This 435-nucleotide ribosomal RNA is filed under the name uncultured bacterium. Its description in RNAcentral is "partial 16S ribosomal RNA". It matches the Rfam family "Bacterial small subunit ribosomal RNA", at positions 386 to 864 of the family's 1533-position model. The record is from RNAcentral.
UUGCAGCCAUGUCGCGUGAGGURAGAAGGCCUUGGGUCGUAAAGCUCUUUUAUGGGGAAGAAWAUGACGGUACCCAGAAUAAGCCCGGCCUAACUACGUGCCAGCAGCCGCGGUAAUACGUAGGGUGCGAGCGUUGUUCGGAAUUACUGGGCGUAAAGAGSCGCGAGGCUGAUUAGAAGUCGGAGGUGAAAGCCCGGGGCUCAACCCCGGAGGGUCUUUCGAAACUGCUAAUCUAGAGAGGGUCAGGGGGGGCGAAUUCUUUGUGUAGAGGUGAAAUUGUCAUAUCAGARGAAUCCCGUGGCGAAGGYGGCUGGGGCCACUCUUACUAGGGAGGMAAAGCUGGGGCAAASAGUAUAACCCUGGUAUCCMCYCUAAACAUAGCACUGGAUGUGCGGGAGGUCUUCYACCCUUUKGGUUCUCAGCUAACGCAUUAAG